CCUACGGGUGGCAGCAGUGAGGAAUAUUGGUCAAUGGACGAGAGUCUGAACCAGCCAAGUAGCGUGAAGGAUGACUGCCCUAUGGGUUGUAAACUUCUUUUAUAUGGGAAUAAAAUGUUCCACGUGUGGGAUUUUGUAUGUACCAUAUGAAUAAGGAUCGGCUAACUCCGUGCCAGCAGCCGCGGUAAUACGGAGGAUCCGAGCGUUAUCCGGAUUUAUUGGGUUUAAAGGGAGCGUAGGUGGAUUGUUAAGUCAGUUGUGAAAGUUUGCGGCUCAACCGUAAAAUUGCAGUUGAAACUGGCAGUCUUGAGUACAGGAGAGGUGGGCGGAAUUCGUGGUGUAGCGGUGAAAUGCGUAGAUAUCACGAAGAACUCCGAUUGCGAAGGCAGCUUACUGGACUGCAACUGACGCUGAGGCUCGAAAGUGUGGGUAUCAAACAGGAUUAGAUACCCCUGUAGUC
Molecule: ribosomal RNA, 460 nt
Filed under: uncultured bacterium
Lineage: Bacteria
Description: partial 16S ribosomal RNA
Rfam family: Bacterial small subunit ribosomal RNA
Source: RNAcentral